RNAcentral lists this long non-coding RNA (334 nucleotides) under Mytilus galloprovincialis (Mediterranean mussel). Lineage: Eukaryota; Metazoa; Mollusca; Bivalvia; Mytilida; Mytilidae. The record is from RNAcentral.
CUGUAAGUUUGUGGAUGAAUUUGUCGGGUUUUAUUGUAUGUUGGUAUACGUAAUUUUGAUGGUCUACGUUGUUGUAAGGUAGGCCAAUUUAGUACUAGUGUAUACUUAUUGACUGGGUAUGAGUGGAAUAGUACGUUUAUUGUCCCGAGGUGCAACUAUUGCCCUGAGGCGUGGUUCUGUCUUGUCUAUAUACAAUCUAUAUCGAUUGAAAACCCCGUUUUUUAUUAGCUAUAAACAAUAAGUCAAAUUUGGAUUGCUUAUUGUACAAAUGCAUGAAUGUGCGACGUUGUUAUUUAAAGAAUGACUGUAAUAUUUUUUCUGUCUAUGAAGAAAU